RNAcentral lists this ribosomal RNA (253 nucleotides) under uncultured bacterium. Its description in RNAcentral is "partial 16S ribosomal RNA". It matches the Rfam family "Bacterial small subunit ribosomal RNA", at positions 524 to 776 of the family's 1533-position model. The record is from RNAcentral.
UACGUAGGGUGCGAGCGUUAAUCGGAAUUACUGGGCGUAAAGCGUGCGCAGGCGGUUCGUGAUGUCUGAUGUGAAAGCCCCGGGCUCAACCUGGGAACUGCAUUGGAAACUAGCGGGCUGGAGUGUGGCAGAGGGGGGUGGAAUUCCACGUGUAGCAGUGAAAUGCGUAGAUAUCUGGAGGAACACCGGUGGCGAAGGCGGCAUCCUGGACCAACACUGACGCUGAGGAGCGAAAGCCAGGGGAGCAAACGGG